GCACAAGCGGUGGAGCAUGUGGUUUAAUUCGAAGCAACGCGAAGAACUUACCAGGUCUUGACAUCCCUGACAACCCGAGAGAUCGGGCGUUCCCCUUCGGGGGACAGGGUGACAGGUGGUGCAUGGUUGUCGUCAGCUCGUGUCGUGAGAUGUUGGGUUAAGUCCCGCAACGAGCGCAACCCUCGACCUUAGUUGCCAGCAUUCAGUUGGGCACUCUAAGGUGACUGCCGGCUAAAAGUCGGAGGAAGUGGGGAUGACGUCAAAUCAUCAUGCCCCUUAUGUCCUGGGCCACACACGUGCUACAAUGGCCGGUACAGAGGGAAGCGAAGCCGUGAGGUGGAGCAAAUCCCAAAAACCGCUCUCAGUUCGGAUUGGAGUCUGCAACUCGACUCCAUGAAGCUGGAAUCGCUAGUAAUCGCGGAUCCAGCAUGCCGCGGUGAAUACGUUCCCGGGCCUU
This 457-nucleotide ribosomal RNA is filed under the name uncultured Anoxybacillus sp. RNAcentral's name for it is "bacterial SSU rRNA". It matches the Rfam family "Bacterial small subunit ribosomal RNA", at positions 923 to 1382 of the family's 1533-position model. The record is from RNAcentral. Lineage: Bacteria; Bacillati; Bacillota; Bacilli; Caryophanales; Anoxybacillaceae.